CUUCCUUUCUUCCUCUUUCCUGGCCCCACUCACCGCAGGGCUGGUGCACCCAAGCUGGAAAGGGGCUGGAUGGUGGCGCCAGCAGGAAAUGCCUUCCAGAGGGUGAAGAGGCAGAGGGCAAGGAGGACAUGGGGUGCUGCUGUCCUGACAUCAAUUGUUGAAGAGACUAUUCUUACUCAUUGAAUUGUCUUGGAAUCCUCGUUGGAAAUCAAUUGAGCAUAAAGGAGGAGGAGACCCAGGAGACGAGGCUGCCAUUCUGGCUCUGCCCCUAGAGGAAAGGAGGAUACCUUAAGCCACCUUGCCUCUUGCAGAAUCAACGAGGUCAACAGGAAGAUGGGGGAUGCGACCAGCUCACGUGAAGUCCUGUC
RNAcentral lists this long non-coding RNA (368 nucleotides) under Equus caballus (horse). Its description in RNAcentral is "lncRNA (ENSECAG00000045298.1)". Lineage: Eukaryota; Metazoa; Chordata; Mammalia; Perissodactyla; Equidae. The record is from RNAcentral.